This 475-nucleotide long non-coding RNA is filed under the name Zonotrichia albicollis (white-throated sparrow). RNAcentral describes it as "lncRNA (ENSZALG00000002316.1)". The record is from RNAcentral. Lineage: Eukaryota; Metazoa; Chordata; Aves; Passeriformes; Passerellidae.
UCAGUUCCAGAUCCAUCAGUUUUGAAGUUUCCAUUCCUGCCCCAUGCGUUAUCCACAGUAUUUAAGAUAUGGAUGCAGAAAGUGAGUACUGCCAUCCCAAGUAAUUGAAAACAAAAAAAUAAGUGGAAAUCCAUGGAAAGGAGCCGUGGAAUUUGGACUGUUAAGGCAUAGGUGUGACACAAGUAACUGGAGGGAGUGGAAGUUGUCCUGUUGGACCAGGAGAAGAUUUCCAGUGUCUGAUCCCCGGGAGCUGCAAUCAGCUGAGGUUUCUGCUUGCCACACGUCCCUGAAUGUGACAAGGAGAGAGGGUUUCACUCUCAGCUGGCGAGGAGCCCUCUGCACACCCAGACUGUGGUGCAUGGUCAGGAGGUCAUUUCUGCCCACACAGUGGCCCAGCGCUGUCCCAGCAUGGAGCACUGAGGGCUGCUGCAGAUGUACUGCACUCACAGGCAGGUUUCCUUUGGAUGGAAAAUGA